GGCGGACAGACUCCCACAUACCUUCCUCCACUAGCAAGUUAUCUCCUUCCUUCCAGAAGAAUGUUUGAGACCAUGCUUUUGGUGUUAUAUCUAAGAAGUCAUCACCAGGGCAUCAGACAGAUUUGGGUUAGGAUCUGAAUAUCCACUCAUUUGCUAUGCUUUGUGACCCCAGUGCUGUUGGGAGAACUGAAGAUAAAAAACCUUUUACGAAAUGUACCCAAAUAUUUGGUAGAACUGAAGAUAAAUUUCACGUGCUUUCCAGCUUGGUCCAGAAUGG
This is a long non-coding RNA of Zalophus californianus (California sea lion), 277 nucleotides long. RefSeq lists it as uncharacterized. Lineage: Eukaryota; Metazoa; Chordata; Mammalia; Carnivora; Otariidae. The record is from RefSeq and is a predicted model, not a curated record. The transcript is spliced from 3 exons.